RNAcentral lists this ribosomal RNA (253 nucleotides) under uncultured bacterium. Its description in RNAcentral is "partial 16S ribosomal RNA". It matches the Rfam family "Bacterial small subunit ribosomal RNA", at positions 524 to 776 of the family's 1533-position model. The record is from RNAcentral.
UACAGAGGGGGCAAGCGUUGUCCGGAAUUAUUGGGCGUAAAGAGCUCGUAGGCGGUUUGUUGCGUCGGCUGUGAAAUCCCGAGGCUCAACCUCGGGUCUGCAGUCGAUACGAGCAAACUAGAGUGUUGCAGGGGAGACUGGAAUUCCUGGUGUAGCGGUGAAAUGCGCAGAUAUCAGGAGGAACACCUGUGGCGAAAGCGGCUCACUGGACCAUAACUGACGCUGAUGCACGAAAGCUAGGGGAGCAAACAGG